CCUACGGGUGGCAGCAGUAGGGAAUAUUGCUCAAUGGGGGAAACCCUGAAGCAGCAACGCCGCGUGGAGGAUGAAGGUUUUCGGAUUGUAAACUUCUUUUGUUAGAGAAGAUAAUGACGGUAUCUAACGAAUAAGCACCGGCUAAUACCGUGCCAGCAGCCGCGGUAAUACGGAGGGUGCAAGCGUUAUUCGGAAUCACUGGGCGUAAAGCGGGCGUAGGCGGGUUAGCAAGUCAGAGGUGAAAUCCUAAGGUUUAACGAUAGAACUGCAUUUGAAACUGUUAUUCUAGAGUAUGGGAGAGGUAGGUGGAAUUUGUGGUGUAGGGGUAAAAUCCGUAGAGAUCAAGAGGAAUACUCAUUGCGAAGGCGACCUGCUAGAACAUAACUGACGCUGAUGCGCGAAAGCGUGGGGAGCAAACAGGAUUAGAUACCCCGGUAGUC
RNAcentral lists this ribosomal RNA (440 nucleotides) under uncultured bacterium. RNAcentral describes it as "partial 16S ribosomal RNA". It matches the Rfam family "Bacterial small subunit ribosomal RNA", at positions 338 to 795 of the family's 1533-position model. The record is from RNAcentral.